AGAACCUGAACGGUCAGAGUUUCUUCCAGGAAAAUCUACUGACUACUAUGUCUGUGUGCGUAACAUAGCCAACUCCAUCACAGAGGCAUAAUUAAUUUUCCAUUUCCAGAAGUAUGGAGUGUCCAUUGUCGUCUUUCAAGAACUGUGCCAGAAAUCCAGCUACGCAAUCCUAAAAUUUGGUACCUUGGAACAUGCCCAGGCUGCAGUGUUGGAAAUGAAUGGGAAGGAGUUAUGUGGGAGAGCGUUAAAAGUCAAUUACAUCAAGGAUUCAAAACAAAGUGCAUAUGAAAAGCUGGAUCAUCUUUCAGGAUCUCAGCCUCACAA
Molecule: long non-coding RNA, 324 nt
Organism: Spea bombifrons (plains spadefoot toad)
Lineage: Eukaryota; Metazoa; Chordata; Amphibia; Anura; Pelobatidae
Exons: 3
Source: RefSeq, a predicted model, not a curated record